Myotis myotis is the source of this 497-nucleotide long non-coding RNA. RefSeq lists it as uncharacterized. The record is from RefSeq and is a predicted model, not a curated record. NCBI's taxonomy places the organism in Eukaryota, Metazoa, Chordata, Mammalia, Chiroptera, Vespertilionidae. The transcript is spliced from 2 exons.
GCUGUUGCAAAUAGUAGGAGUUCCUUUUUUACCACAGUGUAGUAUUCCAUUGUGUAGAUCUACCACAGUUUUUUAAUCUACUCAUCUGCCCACGGUUAACUUUUUGAAGAAGUGCCAGUUUUCCAAAGUGCCGGCCCUCCUCUACAUGCCCACCAGCAACAAUGUAUGAUUUCUCCACAUGCUCCCCAACACUUUUUAUUGUCUGUCUUUUUAAGCACAACUAUCCACGUGGAGUAGUAUCUUGAAGUUUUGUAUUUCCCUUAUGACACGAGCAUCUUUUCAUGUCUAUCUUUGGAGAAAUAUCUAUUGAAAUCCUUUGCCCAUUUCUAAAUUGUGUUAUUUGUCUUGUUAUUGUUGAGUUGUAAGAGCUUUUUAUAUAUUCCUGUAUAAGUCCUUAUAAUUUGCAAAUAUCCUAUUCUGUAGGUUGUCUUUUCACUUACUUGCUGGAUGGCUUACAACCCAAGGUUUUUCAUAACAAUAUAGAGCAAUUUGUGGUU